Molecule: ribosomal RNA, 497 nt
Filed under: uncultured bacterium
Lineage: Bacteria
Description: partial 16S ribosomal RNA
Rfam family: Bacterial small subunit ribosomal RNA
Source: RNAcentral
GAUGAACGCUGGCGGCGUGCCUAAUACAUGCAAGUCGAGCGAACAGACGAGGAGCUUGCUCCUCUGACGUUAGCGGCGGACGGGUGAGUAACACGUGGAUAACCUACCUAUAAGACUGGGAUAACUUCGGGAAACCGGAGCUAAUACCGGAUAAUAUAUUGAACCGCAUGGUUCAAUAGUGAAAGACGGUUUUGCUGUCACUUAUAGAUGGAUCCGCGCCGCAUUAGCUAGUUGGUAAGGUAACGGCUUACCAAGGCGACGAUGCGUAGCCGACCUGAGAGGGUGAUCGGCCACACUGGAACUGAGACACGGUCCAGACUCCUACGGGAGGCAGCAGUGGGGAAUCUUCCGCAAUGGGCGAAAGCCUGACGGAGCAACGCCGCGUGAGUGAUGAAGGUCUUCGGAUCGUAAAACUCUGUUAUUAGGGAAGAACAAAUGUGUAAGUAACUAUGCACGUCUUGACGGUACCUAAUCAGAAAGCCCCGGCUAACUACGUG